Molecule: ribosomal RNA, 581 nt
Filed under: fungal sp. ARIZ B455
Lineage: Eukaryota; Fungi
Description: eukaryotic LSU rRNA
Rfam family: 5.8S ribosomal RNA (bases 203-356)
Source: RNAcentral
GGAAGUAAAAGUCGUAACAAGGUCUCCGUUGGUGAACCAGCGGAGGGAUCAUUACCGAGUUUACAACUCCCAAACCCCUGUGAACAUACCAAUUGUUGCCUCGGCGGAUCAGCCCGCUCCCGGUAAAACGGGACGGCCCGCCAGAGGACCCCUAAACUCUGUUUCUAUAUGUAACUUCUGAGUAAAACCAUAAAUAAAUCAAAACUUUCAACAACGGAUCUCUUGGUUCUGGCAUCGAUGAAGAACGCAGCAAAAUGCGAUAAGUAAUGUGAAUUGCAGAAUUCAGUGAAUCAUCGAAUCUUUGAACGCACAUUGCGCCCGCCAGUAUUCUGGCGGGCAUGCCUGUUCGAGCGUCAUUUCAACCCUCAAGCCCUCGGGUUUGGUGUUGGGGAUCGGCGAGCCCUUGCGGCAAGCCGGCCCCGAAAUCUAGUGGCGGUCUCGCUGCAGCUUCCAUUGCGUAGUAGUAAAACCCUCGCAACUGGUACGCGGCGCGGCCAAGCCGUUAAACCCCCAACUUCUGAAUGUUGACCUCGGAUCAGGUAGGAAUACCCGCUGAACUUAAGCAUAUCAAUAAGCGGAGG